Ipomoea triloba (trilobed morning glory) is the source of this 526-nucleotide long non-coding RNA. RefSeq lists it as uncharacterized. The transcript is spliced from 2 exons. The record is from RefSeq and is a predicted model, not a curated record. NCBI's taxonomy places the organism in Eukaryota, Viridiplantae, Streptophyta, Magnoliopsida, Solanales, Convolvulaceae.
UUAUCCUUAAGUAAAUUGCAAACGUAGUAGCGAGCUAUGGCCGGCUCUAAUUUCUCCCUAAGGUUCGUACUCAUGGCCGUGUUUGUUUCUGUUAUCUUCAUCUCGAUCAUGGCAGCGAAUCCAUCCCAGGCCGCUCGAGUUUCUCGAGAGCUGCUUAAGGCUAACACCACCGCCGCCGCCGCAAUGUAUUGCCUGGACGAUUGUGUUGGGUGUUGCGAACCACCGCCGCCGGGCUCAUGCUGUCUGAAGUGCGGUUGCUGAUCGACGACCUCCUAAACUUGAAGAAUAUGCACGCUUAUCAUAGUUUAAAAACCAUCAUAUUAUAAUAUUUUUUAAUGCAUAUACACGUGUUUGAAUAUAGAAUUUGACUUCAGUCUCAGUUGAGAUGGUCAGGCAGUGAGUUAACAACUGUGGGCUGGUUUUGUUGUAAAAACAACCCAUACAUAUACUACAAAUAUAUUGUUUGUAUCAAUAUGUUUUUGAGUGAUUUAUUUUUAAGAAUGCACGGAGUAAUAAACUUCUUGAA